CCCUUAGAUGUUCUGGGCUGCACGCGCGCUACACUGAAGCGUUCAACGAGUAUUCACCUUGCCCGGGAGGGUUGGGUAAUCUUUUGAAAACGCUUCGUGAUGGGGAUAGAUUAUUGCAAUUAUUAAUCUUCAACGAGGAAUUCCUAGUAAGCGCGAGUCAUCAGCUCGUGCUGAUUACGUCCCUGCCCUUUGUACACACCGCCCGUCGCUCCUACCGAUUGAGUGGUCCGGUGAAUAAUUCGGACUGCAGCACUGCUUGGUCUCCAGGCUUUGCAGCGGAAAGUUUAGUGAACCUUAUCACUUAGAGGAAGGAGAAGUCGUANCA
Molecule: ribosomal RNA, 325 nt
Filed under: uncultured eukaryote
Lineage: Eukaryota
Description: partial 18S ribosomal RNA
Rfam family: Eukaryotic small subunit ribosomal RNA
Source: RNAcentral